RNAcentral lists this ribosomal RNA (864 nucleotides) under uncultured bacterium. Its description in RNAcentral is "bacterial SSU rRNA". It matches the Rfam family "Bacterial small subunit ribosomal RNA", at positions 8 to 916 of the family's 1533-position model. The record is from RNAcentral.
AGAGUUUGAUCCUGGCUCAGGAUGAACGCUGGCGGCGUGCUUUAAGCAUGCAAGUCGAACGGCUCCGCAAGGAGCAGUGGCGGACGGUCGAGUAACGCGUGGGGAUCUACCUUGAAGUUGGACAUAGCUCGUCGAAAGGCGGGGUAAUUUCCAAUGUGAACGUAAGUUCAAAGUCGCAAGACGCUUUAAGAUGAACCCGCGUCCUAUCAGCUAGUUGGUGAGGUAAUGGCUCACCAAGGCAUCGACGGGUAGCUGGUCUGAGAGGAUGAUCAGCCGGAAUAGCACUGAGACACGGGCUAUACACCUACGGGUGGCAGCAACUGGGAAUCUUGCGCAAUGGACGAAAGUCUGACGCAGCGACGCCGCGUGGAGGAUUGAAGGCCCUCGGGUUGUAAACUCCUUUUGACUGGGAAGAUUAUGACUGUACCAGUAGAAUAAGCACCUGCUAACUACGUGCCAGAAGCCUCGGUAAUACGUAGGGUGCAAGCGUUAUCCGGAUUUAUUGGGCGUAAAGUGUUGCGUAGGCUGAUUUGCGCAUUUUGUUUAAAAGACUAAGGCUUAACCUUAGUUUUGGGCAAAAUAUGGCAAAUCUUGAUGGUUUAAGAGGGUACUGGAACUUAACAAGUAGCAGUGAAAUGCGUUGAUAUGUUAAGGAACACCAAAGGCGUAGGCAGGUACCUGGGAAACUCAUGACGCUGAGGCACGACAGCUAGGGUAGCGAAGCAGAUUAGAGACCUGCGUAGUCCUAGCCGUAAACGAUGGAUGCUAGUUAGUCCGAUGUACUUCGGACCGACGUAAGGUAACCCGUUAAGCAUCCCGCCUGGGGAGUACGAACGCAAGUUUAAAACUCAAAGGAAUUGACGG